UAGGGAAUAUUGGACAAUGGGUGAGAGCCUGAUCCAGCCAUGCCGCGUGCAGGAAGAAGGCGUUAUGCGUUGUAAACUGCUUUUGCCAGGGGAUAAAAAGACCGUGCGCGGUUAAUUGAAGGUACCUGGUGAAUAAGCCACGGCUAACUACGUGCCAGCAGCCGCGGUAAUACGUAGGUGGCAAGCGUUGUCCGGAUUUAUUGGGUUUAAAGGGUGCGUAGGUGGCCCUGUAAGUCAGUGGUGAAAUAUCUCAGCUUAACUGAGAGGGUGCCAUUGAUACUGCAGGGCUUGAGUACAGAUGAGGUAGGCGGAAUUGACGGUGUAGCGGUGAAAUGCAUAGAUAUCGUCAAGAACACCGAUAGCGAAGGCAGCUUACCAAGCUGUAACUGACACUGAGGCACGAAAGUGUGGGGAUCAAACAGGAUUAGAUACCCCUGUAGUCCCUGAGCGGGCUGGCAAGGCGCAU
This 466-nucleotide ribosomal RNA is filed under the name uncultured bacterium. RNAcentral's name for it is "bacterial SSU rRNA". It matches the Rfam family "Bacterial small subunit ribosomal RNA", at positions 355 to 825 of the family's 1533-position model. The record is from RNAcentral.